GGGGGUGUACUGGCUUUGACAGGUGUUUAAGGAAUAAUGGGCAGUGGUGUUGUAGACCUAAAUACUAUAAAUUCUAAAUGCAAACAAAAAAGAAUCAGCUAAUGAAUUCAACGUUGACGUUAACUUAUUAGCUAACUCAAACUCAAACCUAGCUUACGCUUUUUAAUUAAAUAUAUUUCGAGCUAGUCAAACAACCUAAACUUGUGUGGAUUGUUUGUUAUAAACAAGUUGAUUGGUAAAAUUUGCUAUUUAUUUAUCAAUUAAAUAAAAAUAGCACAAUUAGCUUUAAUUUUGUAGUUUUUAAAAAGCUAAUUGUUAUUUAAAAACUAAUAAACUGUAGACUGUUAUUUGCUGAUGCAUGUGGACCGGGGUUCGACUCCCCGCAUCUCCACCA
This 394-nucleotide transfer-messenger RNA is filed under the name Mesomycoplasma bovoculi. RNAcentral describes it as "Standard tmRNA". It matches the Rfam family "transfer-messenger RNA". From Rfam's summary of the family: Bacterial tmRNA, also known as 10Sa RNA or SsrA, is named for its dual tRNA and mRNA-like properties. RNAcentral also lists the same sequence under 1 other name. The record is from RNAcentral. Lineage: Bacteria; Bacillati; Mycoplasmatota; Mycoplasmoidales; Metamycoplasmataceae.